This 348-nucleotide unclassified non-coding RNA is filed under the name Raoulia buchananii. RNAcentral describes it as "partial external transcribed spacer". The record is from RNAcentral. Lineage: Eukaryota; Viridiplantae; Streptophyta; Magnoliopsida; Asterales; Asteraceae.
AAAGGUGCAUGAGUGGUGUUUGGUUUGUUACGGGUGGUUGGCUCUUUGCUUGUGCAACAACUUCCACCUGGCAUACCUCUUCAGUCUUUUGUCAAUGCUUAUGUUGCAUUGAAUGCACAGUGGGUUUCUUGUGUUGCAUGCCUAAUUGAUGGUAUCGUUUGAUGAAUUGAUGUCCAUUUUCGUCUUGUGUCGCAUAUGUGAUGUGAGAUGAACCUUAAAGCAGCAUUUGUGAUCCACUCUUUUGAUGCACACGCAUUGAUUUUGUGGCCCAUUGAGUGUUGCUUGGUCUCAUGGAUAUGGAACCUUGUGUGGGCAUGGGAUCUUUUACUAGUUCCUUGUUUGUCCUAG